CCUACGGGGUGCAGCAGUGGGGAAUAUUGGACAAUGGGCGAAAGCCUGAUCCAGCCAUGCCGCGUGUGUGAAGAAGGCCUUCGGGUUGUAAAGCACUUUCAGUGGGGAAGAAAGCCUUGGGGCUAAUACCCUCGAGGAAGGACAUCACCCACAGAAGAAGCACCGGCUAACUCCGUGCCAGCAGCCGCGGUAAUACGGAGGGUGCGAGCGUUAAUCGGAAUUACUGGGCGUAAAGCGCGCGUAGGCGGUCUGAUAAGCCGGUUGUGAAAGCCCCGGGCUCAACCUGGGAACGGCAUCCGGAACUGUCAGGCUAGGGUGCAGGAGAGGAAGGUAGAAUUCCCGGUGUAGCGGUGAAAUGCGUAGAGAUCGGGAGGAAUACCAGUGGCGAAGGCGGCCUUCUGGACUGACACUGACGCUGAGGUGCGAAAGCGUGGGUAGCAAACAGGAUUAGAUACCCUAGUAGUC
RNAcentral lists this ribosomal RNA (465 nucleotides) under Vreelandella stevensii. RNAcentral describes it as "partial 16S ribosomal RNA". It matches the Rfam family "Bacterial small subunit ribosomal RNA", at positions 338 to 795 of the family's 1533-position model. The record is from RNAcentral. Lineage: Bacteria; Pseudomonadati; Pseudomonadota; Gammaproteobacteria; Oceanospirillales; Halomonadaceae.